GGCUCCCAGUGGAAGACGGCAGUAGAACAAAGAUAGGCAGUCCAAGGAGCAGCAAUGUGAUGCCCUGGUCCUCUUUCGGCAUCAGUGUUUCAGCAUAGCUCAGCCUGGGAUGCUCACCACUCAACAAUGUCUGCCUGCUUGUCUUUGAUCAUUUAUGUGGCUGGCCUCUGUGAAGCUUUGCUAGGUGUUGGGGAUACAUGGAUGAAUAGUAUGGGGCCGUUGAGGGAGAAAAGCAGACAGUUAAACAUAUAAAGGAAGCCUUUGGAAAUAUCCCCAAGAGUGCCUGAAAAAACAGGACCGAAGAAAUGACACAGCAGCGUGGGCUCUGUCCUCUUCAGCCUUCCACAGUUCCUUCUCAUAUCCGUUUUACCUAUCUACCCCAGCUCUGCAGACACCCCUAAUGCACGCUAAGAAUACACCUGUUUGAGCGCUCUUUGGAAAAGCAGGGGUAUUUGUUCAGAGACCGAUGUCUUGACUCUUGCUCCCGCCAGGAGGCACUGCUCGAGGCGGUCGAGAA
Molecule: long non-coding RNA, 517 nt
Organism: Peromyscus eremicus (cactus mouse)
Lineage: Eukaryota; Metazoa; Chordata; Mammalia; Rodentia; Cricetidae
Exons: 3
Source: RefSeq, a predicted model, not a curated record